GACGAACGCUGGCGGCGUGCUUAACACAUGCAAGUCGAACGGUAAGGCCCUUCGGGGUACACGAGUGGCGAACGGGUGAGUAACACGUGGGUGAUCUGCCCUGCACUUCGGGAUAAGCCUGGGAAACUGGGUCUAAUACCGGAUAGGACCACUGCCCGCAUGGGUGGUGGUGGAAAGCUUUUGCGGUGUGGGAUGGGCCCGCGGCCUAUCAGCUUGUUGGUGGGGUGAUGGCCUAACAAGGCGACGACGGGUAGCCGGCCUGAGAGGGUGACCGGCCACACUGGGACUGAGAUACGGCCCAGACUCCUACGGGAGGCAGCAGUGGGGAAUAUUGCACAAUGGGCGCAAGCCUGAUGCAGCGACGCCGCGUGAGGGAUGACGGCCUUCGGGUUGUAAACCUCUUUCAGCACCGACGAAGCGCAAGUGACGGUAGGUGCAGAAGAAGGACCGGCCAACUACGUGCCAGCCGCCGCGGUAA
RNAcentral lists this ribosomal RNA (478 nucleotides) under uncultured bacterium. RNAcentral describes it as "partial 16S ribosomal RNA". It matches the Rfam family "Bacterial small subunit ribosomal RNA", at positions 28 to 523 of the family's 1533-position model. The record is from RNAcentral.